AUUGAACGCUGGCGGCAGGCCUAACACAUGCAAGUCGAACGGUAACAGGAAGCAGCUUGCUGCUUCGCUGACGAGUGGCGGACGGGUGAGUAAUGUCUGGGAAACUGCCUGAUGGAGGGGGAUAACUACUGGAAACGGUAGCUAAUACCGCAUAACGUCGCAAGACCAAAGAGGGGGACCUUAGGGCCUCUUGCCAUCGGAUGUGCCCAGAUGGGAUUAGCUAGUAGGUGGGGUAACGGCUCACCUAGGCGACGAUCCCUAGCUGGUCUGAGAGGAUGACCAGCCACCCUGGAACUGAGACACGGUCCAGACUCCUACGGUGGGCAGCAGUGGGGAAUAUUGCACAAUGGGCGCAAGCCUGAUGCAGCCCUGCCGCGUGUAUGAAGAAGGCCUUCGGGUUGUAGAGUACUUUCAGCGGGGAGGAAGGGAGUAAAGUUAAUACCUUUGCUCAUUGACGUUACCCGCAGAAGAAGCACCGGCUAACUCCGUG
RNAcentral lists this ribosomal RNA (490 nucleotides) under uncultured bacterium. RNAcentral describes it as "partial 16S ribosomal RNA". It matches the Rfam family "Bacterial small subunit ribosomal RNA", at positions 30 to 507 of the family's 1533-position model. The record is from RNAcentral.